Amphiprion ocellaris (clown anemonefish) is the source of this 1523-nucleotide long non-coding RNA. Lineage: Eukaryota; Metazoa; Chordata; Actinopteri; Pomacentridae. The record is from Ensembl.
AUGUGAUGUUUUAAUUUCUCUGUGAAUAACUGCAGUCUAAUGGAACAGCUGGAAUUGUAACAUCUGUCCUGAUAUUGAUCAUGAAGUAUUGAUCAGAAUACUUAUGGUCAGCAGUCAUCCCUGAAGUUUUACAUUAAAAUCUUUACUUGUGUUGUGAACUUUGGUAAGAAGCAGAAACGUUAGCGUUGCCAUGGAUACAUGGGUGUUAAAUUCUGUCCAUGUUUCCUUUUGGGAAAUUCAGUCCAGCAGAUGAGUUUGUUUUUACUGCCAGCUACCAUUCAGUCUGAGAUAUUAAGAAUAAAUAAAUGUGCAUAAUGUGGAAAUGAACAGAUUUUAUUUUUAUUUAUUCCUACAGCGGAUGCAGAGAAAGUUCCAGAAUGUGGAGGAAUUUAGUCUCAUAAUCACAGACAAUAAAUAUUAUCUGAAAGUCGGGUUAUUGUUGUUUAUCAGCACAAUACAAAAAGAUUCAUGUUAGACAUAUUUCAGUUAAGACUCUAGAGUAUCAUGAUUUAUGUAAAUUUACCUCAGUAAUAUGAAUGUUCAGGUUAAGAUUGUGCAGUGAUAUUUAUUAUGUAAGUUUACCUGAUUAAAAUGUAUGACUCUGCACUACAAUAUUAUUUAUUUAAAUUUACAUCAUUAUUAUAAUAUUUAGGGUCAGACCCUACAGUAAUGAGAUUAAGAAAUCAAAUAUUCUAUAAAAUGUAAAUACACUGAACUCAUUUGGAUAUAUUUAAGUGAGACUCUACAAUAUUAUUUGACACAAAUCUAAAUCUAAAUUUUACUAAUUUUUACUCCAAACAUUUACUGGACUGAUUUAAAUACUAAAAUCACUCCUUUCUAAUCCUCUGCUGUACGUUCAAACCUGAGGCCUUAAAUAGAAACACACAAGUAUCUGAUUGAAGGAACUUCUGCAGAGUCCUGGUUCCAGAACAUGAUGAUAGAAUUAUAGACAAACUUUAACAAAAGCUGCCUGAGAGUUUACAGGUUUUUAUGUUAGAUUUCUUCAGUAAUUUAAUGAGAGUUAUCAGCAAAAAUCAAGUGUUCAUUUGAUGAACUUCAUUUCCUAAAACAUCCAGAAUUGGAGCUCAUAUCUUUGGCAGCUGUAAAGUUUCUGCUCCUUCAAAGUUCACAACACAAUGAAUGAAUUCCUAAAACACUCUCAAUGCUGGAGAGCGUUUGAUGCUGAAGCAGUGAUCAGUUUUUCUGUUUCUUCUCUGGAGAUGCACAAUGAGGGACGUCUGCAGAGACUGAGAAAGAAUCUCACCACAUCCUGACAUGAGGAAAAAGACUUUAUUGAAGACUACAAUGAGAAAAACUAUCAGACAGCAGACGGCUGCAUUCAAGUCUGUAGCUGCUGAAUUCAUGGAUGAAUCAUCUGGCACUAGAGAAGAAGACCAUCAAACAUCCACAUCAGCUGAUGGAGGUCCAAGAGUCUCACCAAACAAACAACCUCUGUAGGUUGUUUAAUAUUUUUUUGACAUAGUAUACUAUGGCAUUUUUUUUUGCGCCAAAAUUCAUGAUGA